UACGUAGGGGGCAAGCGUUGUCCGGAAUUAUUGGGCGUAAAGAGCACGUAGGCGGUAAUAUAAGUUGGAUGUGAAAGGCUACGGCUCAACCGUAGAGCUGCAUCCAAAACUGUAUCACUUGAGUGCAGAAGAGGAGAGUGGAAUUCCCGGUGUAGCGGUGGAAUGCGUAGAGAUCGGGAGGAACACCAGUGGCGAAGGCGACUCUCUGGUCUGUAACUGACGCUGAGGUGCGAAAGAGUGGGGAGCGAACAGG
Molecule: ribosomal RNA, 253 nt
Filed under: uncultured bacterium
Lineage: Bacteria
Description: partial 16S ribosomal RNA
Rfam family: Bacterial small subunit ribosomal RNA
Source: RNAcentral